AGCGUGCCUUCCUUCCUUCAUCUUCCCUCUUGAGAACCGGUGAUGCUCCUGAUGACAUCAGGGGAAAGAUUUCCAUGGAUUUCCAUAGAGUGUGAAGGUCCGUCUGUGUUUUCCACUGCAAGUUACGAAACCAGCACUUUCCUUCUCCUGGAGAGGGUGAUUUUGUCUAAGAUCUCCAAAGCGGAGUGAGCCACAAGGCUAUCUGUAGGCAUGCAGCUCUACCAACUCACGAGGAAUUCAGCAGGGGAAGACGAGGCACGUGCUUGAUGGUAUGUCAGUCCCAGCAUGAUGGAGAGCUUCCCAUGGGAUCACACCAGAGCUAAUGUUAGUGAGCACGGCUGUACUCGGGGACCAGCUUCGUGGGGGAGCAGAGGAAAGGUUGCUCCCUCCUGCACUGCACAGCAGCCCCAACCCAAGGUCCCGGAGAGAUUUAAGUUCUGAACUUGCAUCCAAGCCCAGUGUCUCUGCAGAAGGCAGAAGGAAAACCACACACCAGCACGCCAGCCUUGGGAGCAGGAGGACUCGGGGGCUCGGCGCCAUCCCCUGCCUGCUUGGGUUUGAUCUCCUGCUGCAACUGAGGCAUCCCAUAAAAGCUCUUCUUGAAUGGAGGCAACUGCCAGAGCCCAGUAAGCCUUACCUUUCCUUCCUCCGCCCUGAGUCAUCUGCAAUAAUCCUCCAGCUUCUGGCUGAAGGCACAAAAAAUAAAAUACAAUAAAAAAGAUAAAAGGGAGCAUGAAUCAACUUCUGUGGUAGCUGAGGCUUCAAAUAUGCCCGAAGAUCACUUAGAUUGCAUACUGCUUGGGCCAUGUGCCAUCCUUUUAUUGCUUAUCCAUGUACAGGAGAGUUUGCUGACAUUCUGUUAAAAUAUAUAUAUUUCUUUUGGCCAAAUUCAGAAAUAUUUUAGAAGAAAGCAAAAAGAUUUGAGCUAAAACUGAUUUUCCCCCCAAACUGCUUUUUUUUUUUUUUUUUUAAAAAUAAUUUUUUUUUCAAAAAGACAUGGAAGAAAGCAGAUAUUUUUUGAAUUCAAUAAAAAUAAUAUACUUCUGCUGAAAAACA
Molecule: long non-coding RNA, 1056 nt
Filed under: Anas platyrhynchos platyrhynchos (common mallard)
Lineage: Eukaryota; Metazoa; Chordata; Aves; Anseriformes; Anatidae
Description: lncRNA (ENSAPLG00000026831.1)
Source: RNAcentral